RNAcentral lists this ribosomal RNA (428 nucleotides) under uncultured bacterium. RNAcentral describes it as "bacterial SSU rRNA". It matches the Rfam family "Bacterial small subunit ribosomal RNA", at positions 354 to 796 of the family's 1533-position model. The record is from RNAcentral.
GUAGGGAAUAUUGCACAAUGGAGGAAACUCUGAUGCAGCGACGCCGCGUGAGUGAUGAAGGCCUUCGGGUCGUAAAGCUCUGUCGCAGGGGAAUAACACAAUGAAGGUACCCUGUAAGAAAGGAUCGGCUAACUUCGUGCCAGCAGCCGCGGUAAGACGAGGGAUCCUAGCGUGGUUCGGAAUCAUUGGGCGUAAAGCGGAUGUAGGUGGCUAUGUAAGUCAGAUGUGAAAGCCUGGGGCUCAACCCCAGAAGUGCAUUUGAUACUGCGUAGCUUGAGUGUCGGAGAGGUUACUAGAAUUGUUGGUGUAGUGGUGAAAUACGUAGAUAUCAACAGGAAUACCGGAGGCGAAGGCGGGUAACUGGCCGAACACUGACACUGAGAUCCGAAAGCGUGGGGAUCAAACAGGAUUAGAAACCCGGGUAGUCC